GACGAACGCUGGCGGCGUGCCUAAUACAUGCAAGUCGAACGCAGUGGGCACGGGUGAGUCACAUGUGGGUAACCUCCCAUCAGAGGGGAUAACACUUGGAAACAGGUGCUAAACCGAUACUGAUGGAUGGACCCUCUGUGCAUUAGCAAGUUGGUGAGGUAACGGCCCACCAAGGCCACGAUGCACAGCCGACCUGAGAGGGUGACCGGCCACACUGGGACUGAGAGAGGGCCCAGACUCCUACGGAAGGCAGCGGUGGGGAAUCGUCGGCAAUGGACGAAAGUCUGACCGAGCAACGCCCCGUGAGGGAAGAAGGUUUUCGGAUCGUAAAACUCUUUUGUUAGAGAAGCGGUAUCUAACCAGAAAGCCACGGCGAACUACGUGCCAGCAGCCGCGGUAAUUC
RNAcentral lists this ribosomal RNA (403 nucleotides) under uncultured bacterium. RNAcentral describes it as "partial 16S ribosomal RNA". It matches the Rfam family "Bacterial small subunit ribosomal RNA", at positions 28 to 526 of the family's 1533-position model. The record is from RNAcentral.